This is a long non-coding RNA of Gossypium arboreum, 562 nucleotides long. RefSeq lists it as uncharacterized. The transcript has 3 exons. The record is from RefSeq and is a predicted model, not a curated record. Lineage: Eukaryota; Viridiplantae; Streptophyta; Magnoliopsida; Malvales; Malvaceae.
UAUUUUUUUUUACAUUAUUUCUAUUUGCUAGUCCACUUAAGGGAGGAGAAGUUUCUCCACGUUUCUUCAUUGUUCCACCAUUUCUACUCAUUUUUCUCCCUAUCUUUCACCAUUUUUCAUCAUUUCUUUAUAAAAUCUUCAUCUUAAAACCUUGAUUGAGCCAUUUCCCUUAGCAUCUUUAUCACCCAAUAAGUUAGGGUUUGAAUCUUAAAGAGAGAGCUUAAUAGGAGUUAUAAAUUGGUUAUUCAAGAAAUUGAAGAGGAAGAAAGGGAAACUAGCACAGGGAAAGAAAUGUCAGUGGAUUGAGGUGAAAGAGAGUUCUCCUUAUUUUUGAGACUUUUUGUGUUGUUGAGCUCGAGGACUCAUAAGGACUGGAAGACGAUUGGAGAGUCGACACACUAUCAACUAGUCACGCUUUGGUAUAAAGACAUUUUUAUUUGUUCAAUGGCAUGUAUAGGAUUUUUGAGUAUUUUGUUAUAUGUGUCAUUUGAUUUGCCAAAUGAAGGCAUGUAAAAAUAUGUUUAUCUUUUUGUAUAUGGCCAUGAAAAUUGGCUUAAUUGAA